RNAcentral lists this ribosomal RNA (484 nucleotides) under uncultured bacterium. RNAcentral's name for it is "partial 16S ribosomal RNA". It matches the Rfam family "Bacterial small subunit ribosomal RNA", at positions 30 to 507 of the family's 1533-position model. The record is from RNAcentral.
AUUGAACGCUGGCGGCAGGCCUAACACAUGCAAGUCGAGCGGAUGAAGGGAGCUUGCUCCUGGUUUCAGCUGCGGACGGGUGGGUGAUUCCUGGGAAUCUCCCUUUUUUUUUGUUAUAACGUCCUGAAGCGGGCGCUAAUACCCCAUUCGUCCUGAGGUCGAAAGGGGGGGAUCUUCGGACCUUCCGCUCUUAGGUGAGCCUAGGCCGGGUUGGCGAGUUGGUGGGGUAGAGGCGUACCAAGGCGACGAUCCGUAACUGGACUGAGAGGGUGAUCAGUCACACUGGAACGGAGACACGGUCCAGACUCCUACGGGAGGCAGCAGUGGGGAAUAUUGGACAAUGGGCGAAAGCCUGAUCCAGCCAUGCCGCGUGUGUGAAGAAGGCCUUCGGAUUGUAAAGCCCUUUUAGUUGGGAGGAAGAGCAGUAAGUUAAUACCCUGCUGUUUUGACGGUACCAAAAGAAUAAGCACCGGCUAACUUCGUG